CAGUAGCCGCGGGAAUACGGAGGAUCCAAGCGUUAUCCGGAUUUAUUGGGUUUAAAGGGUGCGUAGGUGGCCUGUUAAGUCAGGGGUGAAAGACGGCAGCUCAACUAUCGCAGUGCCCUUGAUACUGAUGGGCUUGAAUGAACUAGAGGUAGGCGGAAUGUGACAAGUAGCGGUGAAAUGCAUAGAUAUGUCACAGAACACCAAUUGCGAAGGCAGCUUACUAUGGUUUGAUUGACACUGAGGCACGAGAGCGUGGGGAUCAAACAGGAUUAGAUACCCCUGUAGUCCCUGUCUCUUAUAC
This 301-nucleotide ribosomal RNA is filed under the name uncultured bacterium. RNAcentral describes it as "partial 16S ribosomal RNA". It matches the Rfam family "Bacterial small subunit ribosomal RNA", at positions 509 to 807 of the family's 1533-position model. The record is from RNAcentral.